Non-coding RNA from Dothidotthia symphoricarpi CBS 119687, 82 nucleotides. The record is from the annotation of a RefSeq genome assembly. Lineage: Eukaryota; Fungi; Ascomycota; Dothideomycetes; Pleosporales; Dothidotthiaceae.
GCCCUCUUGGCUUAGUGGUAAAGCGUAUCACUAGUACCUUCGGAACAUGAUAAGAUCGCUAGUUCGAUUCUGGCAGAGGGCA